AACGAACGCUGGCGGCAUGCCUAACACAUGCAAGUCGAACGAGACCUUCGGGUCUAGUGGCGCACGGGUGCGUAACGCGUGGGAACCUGCCCUUAGGUUCGGAAUAACUCCCCGAAAGGGGUGCUAAUACCGGAUAAUGUCUUCGGACCAAAGAUUUAUCGCCUUUGGAUGGGCCCGCGUUGGAUUAGCUAGUUGGUAGGGUAAAAGCCUACCAAGGCGACGAUCCAUAGCUGGUCUGAGAGGAUGAUCAGCCACACUGGGACUGAGACACGGCCCAGACUCCUGCGGGAGGCAGCAGUGGGGAAUCUUGGACAAUGGGCGAAAGCCUGAUCCAGCAGUGCCGCGUGAGUGAUGAAGGCCUUAGGGUUGUCAAGCUCUUUUACCCGGGAUGAUAAUGACAGUACCGGGAGAAUAAGCUCCGGCUAACUCCGU
Molecule: ribosomal RNA, 432 nt
Filed under: uncultured bacterium
Lineage: Bacteria
Description: partial 16S ribosomal RNA
Rfam family: Bacterial small subunit ribosomal RNA
Source: RNAcentral